UACAGAGGUCCCAAGCGUUGUUCGGAUUUACUGGGCGUAAAGGGCGCGUAGGCGGUAGCACAAGUCAGUUGUGAAAUCUCCGGGCUUAACUCGGAAAGGUCAACUGAUACUGUGCGACUAGAGUGCAGAAGGGGCAACUGGAAUUCUCGGUGUAGCGGUGAAAUGCGUAGAUAUCGAGAGGAACACCUGCGGCGAAGGCGGGUUGCUGGGCUGACACUGACGCUGAGGCGCGAAAGCCAGGGGAGCGAACGGG
RNAcentral lists this ribosomal RNA (253 nucleotides) under uncultured bacterium. RNAcentral describes it as "partial 16S ribosomal RNA". It matches the Rfam family "Bacterial small subunit ribosomal RNA", at positions 524 to 776 of the family's 1533-position model. The record is from RNAcentral.